This 1506-nucleotide small RNA is filed under the name Neoscytalidium hyalinum. RNAcentral's name for it is "eukaryotic LSU rRNA". The stretch from base 320 to 1506 matches the Rfam family "Eukaryotic large subunit ribosomal RNA", at positions 1 to 1444 of the family's 3401-position model. Lineage: Eukaryota; Fungi; Ascomycota; Dothideomycetes; Botryosphaeriales; Botryosphaeriaceae. The record is from RNAcentral.
ACUAAAACUUUCAACAACGGAUCUCUUGGUUCUGGCAUCGAUGAAGAACGCAGCGAAAUGCGAUAAGUAAUGUGAAUUGCAGAAUUCAGUGAAUCAUCGAAUCUUUGAACGCACAUUGCGCCCCUCGGUAUUCCGAGGGGCAUGCCUGUUCGAGCGUCAUUACAACCCUCAAGCUCUGCUUGGUGUUGGGCACCGCCCUUCCGCGGGCGCGCCUCAAAGACCUCGGCGGUGGCGUCUUGCCUCGAGCGUAGUAGAAAACACCUCGCUUUGGAGCGCACGGCGCCGCCCGCCGGACGAACCUUUUGAACUUUCUCAAGGUUGACCUCGGAUCAGGUAGGGAUACCCGCUGAACUUAAGCAUAUCAAUAAGCGGAGGAAAAGAAACCAACAGGGAUUGCCUCAGUAACGGCGAGUGAAGCGGCAACAGCUCAAAUUUGAAAGCUGGCCCCCCCGGGGGUCCGCGUUGUAAUUUGUAGAGGAUGAUUCGGCGAGGGCUCCCGCCUAAGUCCCCUGGAACGGGGCGUCAUAGAGGGUGAGAAUCCCGUAUGCGGUGGGCUGCCUUAGCCAUGUGAAUCUCCUUCGACGAGUCGAGUUGUUUGGGAAUGCAGCUCUAAAUGGGAGGUAAAUUUCUUCUAAAGCUAAAUACCGGCCAGAGACCGAUAGCGCACAAGUAGAGUGAUCGAAAGAUGAAAAGCACUUUGGAAAGAGAGUUAAAAAGUACGUGAAAUUGUUGAAAGGGAAGCGCUUGCAGCCAGACUUGUCCGCAGUUGCUCAGCCGGUCUCCUGACCGGCGCACUCUUCUGCGGCCAGGCCAGCAUCAGUUCGGGCGGUCGGAUAAAGGCCCCGGGAACGUAGCUCCUCUCGGGGAGUGUUAUAGCCCGGGGUGGAAUGCGGCCAGCCUGGACUGAGGAUCUCGCUUCGGCUAGGAUGCUGGCGUAAUGGCUGUAAGCGGCCCGUCUUGAAACACGGACCAAGGAGUCUAACAUCUAUGCGAGUGUUUGGGUGUCAAACCCAUGCGCGUAAUGAAAGUGAACGGAGGUGGGAACCCUCGCGGGUGCACCAUCGACCGAUCCUGAUGUCUUCGGAUGGAUUUGAGUAAGAGCAUAGCUGUUGGGACCCGAAAGAUGGUGAACUAUGCCUGAAUAGGGUGAAGCCAGAGGAAACUCUGGUGGAGGCUCGCAGCGGUUCUGACGUGCAAAUCGAUCGUCAAAUUUGGGUAUAGGGGCGAAAGACUAAUCGAACCAUCGACUACUAGGUGGUUAAGAGGUGGCUGAAAGUGCCCACCUAGUCCCCCCGUCCGAGGACGGGGGGGCGACAUCGCCCAAAUUGCGGGGACUCCCUUAGAGCCUCUACUACCGCGGCCGGCCGAAAGGCGCGGUGCAGCACCGGGUUAAUUGCCUAGGGUACGGUAAAAAGGUAGAGGAUUGGGAAAUCCGCAGCCAAGCGCCUAAGUCCCGCGGGAUACGGCGAAGGUUCAGAGACUAGAUGGCGGUGGGUCGGCCCGAGG